This 274-nucleotide ribosomal RNA is filed under the name uncultured bacterium. RNAcentral describes it as "partial 16S ribosomal RNA". It matches the Rfam family "Bacterial small subunit ribosomal RNA", at positions 523 to 796 of the family's 1533-position model. The record is from RNAcentral.
AGACGGAGGGGGCUAGCGUUGUUCGGAAUUACUGGGCGUAAAGCGCGCGUAGGCGGAUUGAUUAGUCAGAGGUGAAAUCCCAGGGCUCAACCCUGGAACUGCCUUUGAAACUGUCAGUCUUGAGUUCGAGAGAGGUGAGUGGAAUUCCGAGUGUAGAGGUGAAAUUCGUAGAUAUUCGGAGGAACACCAGUGGCGAAGGCGGCUCACUGGCUCGAUUCUGACGCUGAGGUGCGAAAGCGUGGGGAGCAAACAGGAUUAGAAACCCCGGUAGUCC